Molecule: long non-coding RNA, 1099 nt
Organism: Daphnia pulicaria
Lineage: Eukaryota; Metazoa; Arthropoda; Branchiopoda; Diplostraca; Daphniidae
Exons: 3
Source: RefSeq, a predicted model, not a curated record
UCCACAUUGAAACACUUGGUGAAGUCCAGAUUCCUGUAUCUCUACAGGAUAUUGACAAACUAAAAACAGUUUCCGGGGAGUUAUCUUAUGGAAGAGGAUGCAGCAUUCCUCUCGAAAACUCUUUAAGAUUAGCAAAGGAGAUAACAAUGCCGAAAGUGCUCUUUUCAACUCAUGAGAGUUAUGACAUUUGGUCAAUUGUUGGAUGCCAUCUACGGCUACCUGUUGAUGUUAUAGAUGUAGAAAUCAAGCUGACUAAAUUAUUGUUAUAUGAAGCUGGCGGCCAUUACAAAGAAAUAGUCUGUGAUCCCAAACAUUGUGGAACUUUUGGUACGGUGAUUCUUCAAUUACCUGUUGAAGGUGGUCAACUGGUCAUGAAGGCGGAGGAAAUGAACAAAUCAUCUUUUAGACACGCAAUGAAACCGGAAGCGCUGGAGCGCCCCGGAAAAAGCCAAUAAAAAAAGCAACAGCAGAAGAGAGAGAGAUCUAAAGAACAAUGAUGAAUUAACACGCAAGUUAUAAGAAAGAUCAAUUCAAACGUUUAAAUCUUGAAAAGUAUAUCUAGCAUCUCCGUCGGGAGUCGGGACGGUGCUCUCUUCCAUUAGCGCUCAACAUCAGAGACCAAGGGAUUCUCUCUGACUUAUUUAACUGGCAGUAGAAAGUUGCUGCCAACACGGGCUCCAUCACUUCCGAUUUACUGUUCUUCCCGGUAAUAUAUAUACAAUAUCAUCCAAAAGGGUAUGCAGCAGUCAUCGGAAUGUAACACGCUCACAUUGUCCCCGUAUAGCAUAUAAGAGUAGAGAGGGUACAUGUUGUACAUAUAUACCGGGUCAUGAAAUAAUACUGAUCGCAUACUCAUCUGGACUUCCUAUAUGAAAGUUAUAUUCUCUUUUUCGAUUAGAACCAAGUACCUACAGCGAGAGAGCGGGGGCCGAAUUAGAAAAGUCCAUUGCUGCUCUCGUUAGAUAUUUCCUAUGGAUUUUUCACGUUGCAGUCCUGGAUGCAUUAUAUACGCUUCGACUUCCCCGAAAAUUGUCUAGCCAACACAACCCCCGCAUCCAGCACAGCAAGAAAUACAUACAUAAAUGUAUAGUAGCCUACG